Molecule: ribosomal RNA, 664 nt
Filed under: uncultured bacterium
Lineage: Bacteria
Description: bacterial SSU rRNA
Rfam family: Bacterial small subunit ribosomal RNA
Source: RNAcentral
UAACGCGUGGGUAACCUGCCCUGUACACACGGAUAACAUACCGAAAGGUAUGCUAAUACGAGAUAAAGUACUUUUAUCGCAUGGUAGAAGUAUCAAAGCUUUUGCGGUACAGGAUGGACCCGCGUCUGAUUAGCUAGUUGGUGAGGUAACGGCUUACCAAGGCGACGAUCAGUAGCCGACCUGAGAGGGUGAUCGGCCACAUUGGAACUGAGACACGGUCCAAACUCCUACGGGAGGCAGCAGUGGGGAAUAUUGCACAAUGGGCGAAAGCCUGAUGCAGCAACGCCGCGUGAGCGAUGAAGGCCUUCGGGUCGUAAAGCUCUGUCCUCAAGGAAGAUAAUGACGGUACUUGAGGAGGAAGCCCCGGCUAACUACGUGCCAGCAGCCGCGGUAAUACGUAGGGGGCUAGCGUUAUCCGGAAUUACUGGGCGUAAAGGGUGCGUAGGUGGUUUCUUAAGUCAGAGGUGAAAGGCUACGGCUCAACCGUAGUAAGCCUUUGAAACUGGGAAACUUGAGUGCAGGAGAGGAGAGUGGAAUUCCUAGUGUAGCGGUGAAAUGCGUAGAUAUUAGGAGGAACACCAGUUGCGAAGGCGGCUCUCUGGACUGUAACUGACACUGAGGCACGAAAGCGUGGGGAGCAAACAGGAUUAGAUACCCUGGUAGU